Molecule: ribosomal RNA, 454 nt
Filed under: uncultured Rikenellaceae bacterium
Lineage: Bacteria; Pseudomonadati; Bacteroidota; Bacteroidia; Bacteroidales; Rikenellaceae
Description: partial 16S ribosomal RNA
Rfam family: Bacterial small subunit ribosomal RNA
Source: RNAcentral
ACGGAAGGCAGCAGUGAGGAAUAUUGGUCAAUGGGCGGAAGCCUGAACCAGCCAUGCCGCGUGCAGGAAUGAGGCCCUAUGGGUCGUAAACUGCUUUUGUGGCGGAGCAAUAAGGCGCACGUGUGCGCUGAUGAGAGUACGUCACGAAUAAGCAUCGGCUAACUCCGUGCCAGCAGCCGCGGUAAUACGGAGGAUGCAAGCGUUAUCCGGAUUUAUUGGGUUUAAAGGGUGCGUAGGCUGUCGUUCAAGUCAGAGGUGGAAUGCCGCGGCUCAACCGUGGAACUGCCUUUGAUACUGGGCGGCUGGAAUACUGUUGCCGUGGGAGGAAUGAGUAGUGUAGCGGUGAAAUGCAUAGAUAUUACUCAGAACACCGAUUGCGAAGGCAUCUCACGAAGCAGUCAUUGACGCUGAGGCACGAAAGCGUGGGGAUCAAACAGGAUUAGAUACCCUGGUA